CGUUAUGGCGGCUGUGCGUCGGAGACCUUCGGGUCUGCCGGUUCUCUGGAUACCGGUUCGCUAACCUUCGCACAGCUGCCACCCAU
Pseudomonas cichorii JBC1 is the source of this 86-nucleotide non-coding RNA. NCBI's taxonomy places the organism in Bacteria, Pseudomonadati, Pseudomonadota, Gammaproteobacteria, Pseudomonadales, Pseudomonadaceae. The record is from Rfam.